This 241-nucleotide ribosomal RNA is filed under the name uncultured Sphingomonas sp. RNAcentral describes it as "partial 16S ribosomal RNA". It matches the Rfam family "Bacterial small subunit ribosomal RNA", at positions 1142 to 1382 of the family's 1533-position model. The record is from RNAcentral. Lineage: Bacteria; Pseudomonadati; Pseudomonadota; Alphaproteobacteria; Sphingomonadales; Sphingomonadaceae.
AAAGUAACCGCCGGUGAUAAGCCGGAGGAAGGUGGGGAUGACGUCAAGUCCUCAUGGCCCUUACGCGCUGGGCUACACACGUGCUACAAUGGCAAGUACAGUGGGCAGCAAUCCCGCGAGGGUGAGCUAAUCUCCAAAACCGCUCUCAGUUCGGAUCGGAGUCUGCAACUCGACUCCGUGAAGCUGGAUUCGCUAGUAAUCGCGCAUCAGCCACGGCGCGGUGAAUACGUUCCCGGGCCUU